This 729-nucleotide ribosomal RNA is filed under the name uncultured eukaryote. Its description in RNAcentral is "SSU rRNA". It matches the Rfam family "Eukaryotic small subunit ribosomal RNA", at positions 670 to 1426 of the family's 1831-position model. The record is from RNAcentral.
CGGGUGCACUGAUCCAGCCGGGCCUUUCCCUCUGUGGAACCCCAUGGCCUUCACUGGCUGUGGUGGGGAAACAGGACUUUUACUUUGAAAAAAUUAGAGUGCUCCAGGCAGGCCUAUGCUCGAAUACAUUAGCAUGGAAUAAUAGAAUAGGACGUGUGGUUCUAUUUUGUUGGUUUCUAGGACUGCCGUAAUGAUUAAUAGGGACAGUCGGGGGCAUCAGUAUUCAAUUGUCAGAGGUGAAAUUCUUGGAUCUAUUGAAGACUAACUACUGCGAAAGCAUUUGCCAAGGAUGUUUUCAUUGAUAAGGAACGAAAGUUAGGGGAUCGAAGACGAUCAGAUACCGUCGUAGUCUUAACUAUAAACUAUGCCGACUAGGGAUCGGACGAUGUUAUUCUUUGACGCGUUCGGCACCUUUCGAGAAAUCAAAGUGCUUGGGCUCCAGGGGGAGUAUGGUCGCAAGGCUGAAACUUAAAGAAAUUGACGGAAGGGCACCACCAGGGGUGGAACCUGCGGCUUAAUUUGACUCAACACGGGGAAACUCACCAGGUCCAGACACAGUGAGGAUUGACAGAUUGAGAGCUCUUUCUUGAUUCUGUGGGUGGUGGUGCAUGGCCGUUCUUAGUUGGUGGAGUGAUUUGUCUGCUUAAUUGCGAUAACGAACGAGACCUUAACCUGCUAAAUAGCCCGUACUGCUUUGGCAGUUCGCCGGCUUCUUAGAGGGACUAUCGG